CCCCACCUUCCCUAAGGUAAGAUGGGCUCACCCUAAAGGCUGGCUCUUAGAGGAAAACCAAGCUCUACUCCCCCACACCCACCCACCCCCUCCACUCCCUCCACCUCAUAGAUUACCGGUUCACCCUGUCCUCUGUCUUCCUCCAGGUCCACAGCUGCCUGCAGUGUUCUCCAACUAGGAACUAUGGCGUCCAGAGGUGCUGCGAGUCGUUGUAUUCCUACUGCUCCACAGGAUCCUGCUCUUGAAGGGCAACAACUGCAAUACCACCUGGAAACUCCAGUUUGACGUCCAGCCCAGCCUCCUCUGAUGUUCCUGAUGUCAUUCUGGACUUCUUUAAUUGGAUAAUUGAGCACAAUUUGCCUUCCCCUUUGAGGAUCAACAGUACACUUUUCCCAGUUGCCUGUAGGGUACAUGAAUACCUCUGGGAUUUCACAAGGAAUUUGCCGUCUGGAUCUAGACUCCUGCUCUGCACCAGGCACCUCCCACAGAAACUCAGCUCUGGCAUUGUACUGAUGUCAUCCUUGUCCCGGGACCUGGCUAUGACUCUGUGUCACACACUGUCACCACUAUAGCAUAUUCAAAAGCAGAGACAUUACUUUGCCAACAAAGGUUCGUCUAGUCAAGGCUAUGGUUUUUCCAGUGGUCAUGUAUGGAUGUGAGAGUUGGACUGUGAAGAAGGCUGAGCGCCGAAGAAUUGAUGCUUUUGAACUGUGGUGUUGGAGAAAACUCUUGAGGGUCCCUUGGACUGCAAGGAGAUCCAACC
Molecule: long non-coding RNA, 763 nt
Organism: Bos taurus (domestic cattle)
Lineage: Eukaryota; Metazoa; Chordata; Mammalia; Artiodactyla; Bovidae
Source: Ensembl